UACGUAGGGUGCAAGCGUUGUCCGGAUUUAUUGGGCGUAAAGAGCUCGUAGGCGGUCUGUCGCGUCGGAUGUGAAAACCCAGGGCUCAACCCUGGGCCUGCAUUCGAUACGGGCGGACUAGAGUACGGCAGGGGAGACUGGAAUUCCUGGUGUAGCGGUGAAAUGCGCAGAUAUCAGGAGGAACACCGGUGGCGAAGGCGGGUCUCUGGGCCGUAACUGACGCUGAGGAGCGAAAGCGUGGGGAGCGAACAGG
This 253-nucleotide ribosomal RNA is filed under the name uncultured bacterium. Its description in RNAcentral is "partial 16S ribosomal RNA". It matches the Rfam family "Bacterial small subunit ribosomal RNA", at positions 524 to 776 of the family's 1533-position model. The record is from RNAcentral.